GGUCGCGUAGCUCAGAUGGACAGAGCACGAAGUUCUCUCUAAGCUUGUGGUCAGAGGUUCGAAUCCUCUCGUGAUCGCCA
This 80-nucleotide transfer RNA is filed under the name Mycoplasmopsis felis. RNAcentral's name for it is "tRNA-Arg". It matches the Rfam family "tRNA". Rfam says of the family: Transfer RNA (tRNA) molecules are approximately 80 nucleotides in length. Their secondary structure includes four short double-helical elements and three loops (D, anti-codon, and T loops). Further hydrogen bonds mediate the characteristic L-shaped molecular structure. tRNAs have two regions of fundamental functional importance: the anti-codon, which is responsible for specific mRNA codon recognition, and the 3' end, to which the tRNAs corresponding amino acid is attached (by aminoacyl-tRNA synthetases). tRNAs cope with the degeneracy of the genetic code in two manners: having more than one tRNA (with a specific anti-codon) for a particular amino acid; and 'wobble' base-pairing, i.e. permitting non-standard base-pairing at the 3rd anti-codon position. Lineage: Bacteria; Bacillati; Mycoplasmatota; Mycoplasmoidales; Metamycoplasmataceae. The record is from RNAcentral.